RNAcentral lists this long non-coding RNA (1955 nucleotides) under Trifolium pratense (red clover). RNAcentral's name for it is "long non-coding RNA (TPRA_LNC002846)". The record is from RNAcentral. Lineage: Eukaryota; Viridiplantae; Streptophyta; Magnoliopsida; Fabales; Fabaceae.
AAGAAAACAGAUGCAUCUUUCAAAAAAAAUUCAUUUGUGAUCAAACCAUUUUUAAAGGGAGCAAAUUUUUACCUUAUCAAAAGCUUCCAUUGAAUUCCUUUUUCUACUACCUAGAGCAGCCUCUGCACAUUGCAAAAAGGAUUAAUCAUCAUAGAAUAAAUUCAUCAACAAUACUACACAUGGUUUCUUAGUAUUCAAUAAAGGCUUGCGACAUAAAAUUGAAAACAACAAAGUUGUUGAGAGAAAAAGGCUUAAUGUGCCUCUUCUUUUUAUAGCAGUGAAGAGAAGGAAAAUUAACAACUUUAGAGAUUGGCAUAUCAAUCCCCAAUUUUAGAAAAAACCAUAGAUCAUAACAAUACCAUCUUCAUAACCAAAUGACAAAGCCAAAUCCCAAAACAAAUAGUCGUGACGGAUUUAUCAUCAAACAAAAGAGUCAUAUACACAUACUCUAGAAACACACAUAUAUAAUCAUGAUUAAUUCAAAAUCAUGUGUAGCAUAUGUACUAUAUUCAUGGUGGUACAAUUGCUUUUACCAAAUCAGACUAAGGUCAUUUUUGUAGAUGGUUUCAAUUUUCAUCUAAAGAUAUAGAAAAAAGGAAGUUAUCUAGUAAAUUUAACUCCUCAUUCAAAGUCCAAUCGUAAGUUACAAGAAUCAUAAAUAAACUACCAAAUCAUAAUAUUAUUCCUUAAGUUUAAGACCACAAAAAUUCUAGGGACAUGAAGUGUCUUUGUAGUAGAUUAGAUAACACUUGUAACAUCUUUAACUAACAAUCAUCACAAAAUUUCAAACAAGAGAAGAACUAGAAAACAAAUAUGCCUUCAAAUAGUUUUCCAUCUGUCCUUGAGUUUCUUCCACCCAUGUCCUGCUUUUAGGUCAGGACAGGUCCUAUAUGGUUUAUCCAAGUUAUAUAUACUCAACUACCUAAGACAAGACCAGAUUGAAUGAACAGAUUCCACCUCAGUCAAUUGGAGAACACAAUAUUUAAAAAACAAAUAAGAAUUAAAUAUAGAUGAAAUUACAAAUGUGUUCAUGAACUCUUACCCUAAAUUGAAACUUGAAAGCUUGCUUUAAUAAUUACAAUCUUUCAUAAGCUUGCUUCCAUGACAAAAACAUAUUUCUAGAAACAAAAACAAAUCGCAACCAAAAUAGCAUGACAAACUAAUCUUUCUUCCAAAUUAGUGAAGAGAAAAAAAACAUAUUUAUAAUAACAAUUAUGUUAAAAUUAAUGAUGAGGAAAAAGUUUACAUGGAGGAGUGUGUAGUUGGUUCCUUCCUGUAACCAACAAACCAAAAACGAUGAUAAAAACAUGCAUCACAAACAAAGUUUGCUAACAAAUAUAAAGUCUUGUUACCAAAAGUUGAACCCCAAAUAUAGAUAUUAUCAACAAAAAUACAAAAAAUUAUGCCAAACAAAAUAAAAUGAUUUACUCCUUGAGAGGCAUUUUAUCAAAUAGAUACAAGACAGUAAGGUGGGUAGAAAAAUCAGAACAAAAUUAAUUUGUAACUCAAAGAUUAUUGUGUUGUCAUCAGUUCAUGUUCAUCUCUUGUUUGACCCAUAAAACGCGAUAUAGAAACAAGCUAAAGAGAAACAACAUGCAAUCAAUCAAUACAUUGGAACGACGGAGAGAUGAAGUUACUACAUACCUUGGAAAUGCAAAGAACGACAGAGAACGGCGGAGGGGUUGUGGUUCUUCGACGGAGUAGGGUUUGAAGGAGAACAACCGAGAGAUUAACGGAUUGUGCUUCCAGAUUAAACAGCGACGGUGGAGAAUAAACGGUGGCGGAGGAGAUUGAACAGCGGAGGAGGAUUGACGGCGGCGUAUUGUGCGAUUAGGUGUCGGAAUCGUCUCACUCAUUUUGCUUUUCGUUUUAGCGAAAUGUUAUGUUUUUGGGAAAAUAUGUGUGUUAAGAAACAAAUUGGUGAAAAAAAAUUAAGAUAUAAAAUUUAAAAUGUU